Molecule: ribosomal RNA, 463 nt
Filed under: uncultured bacterium
Lineage: Bacteria
Description: partial 16S ribosomal RNA
Rfam family: Bacterial small subunit ribosomal RNA
Source: RNAcentral
GAUGAACGCUGACAGAAUGCUUAACACAUGCAAGUCUUUGGCGAAGCUGUGCUUGCACAGCCUAGCCAAGGCGGACGGGUGAGUAACGCGUAAGGAACUUGCCCUGCAGUCAGGGAUAACAGACGGAAACGACUGAUAAGACCUGGUAAAGUCAGGCGGACUCAUGUCCAGCCUGAUGAAAAGAGAUCCUGCAGGAGAGCCUUGCGUCCUAUUAGCUUGUUGGUGGGGUAACGGCCCACCAAGGCGAUGAUAGGUAGCCGGCCUGAGAGGGUGGACGGCCACAAGGGGACUGAGAUACGGCCCUUACUCCUACGGGAGGCAGCAGUGGGGAAUAUUGGACAAUGGGGGCAACCCUGAUCCAGCAAUUCUGUGUGCACGAUGAAGGUUUUCGGAGUGUAAAGUGCUUUCAGCAGGGAAGAAAAAAAUGACGGUACCUGCAGAAGAAGCGACGGCUAAAUACGUG